RNAcentral lists this transfer RNA (59 nucleotides) under Vibrio cholerae HC-59A1. RNAcentral describes it as "partial tRNA-OTHER". It matches the Rfam family "tRNA", at positions 17 to 71 of the family's 71-position model. From Rfam's summary of the family: Transfer RNA (tRNA) molecules are approximately 80 nucleotides in length. Their secondary structure includes four short double-helical elements and three loops (D, anti-codon, and T loops). RNAcentral also lists the same sequence under 1 other name. The record is from RNAcentral. Lineage: Bacteria; Pseudomonadati; Pseudomonadota; Gammaproteobacteria; Vibrionales; Vibrionaceae.
GGUAGAGCAACUGACUUGUAAUCAGUAGGUCACCAGUUCGAUUCCGGUAGUCGGCACCA